This is an RNA transcript of Cornus florida, 3363 nucleotides long. It is a transcript of the gene named origin of replication complex subunit 6-like, with no coding region annotated. The transcript has 10 exons. The record is from RefSeq and is a predicted model, not a curated record. Lineage: Eukaryota; Viridiplantae; Streptophyta; Magnoliopsida; Cornales; Cornaceae.
GGUCAUUGAUGCAGGUUUCCCCGAGUGCGCUGUUGGAAAUUAAUCUCAGUAAUCUCUACCGUAGUCAGCUUCAACAAAUGGGUUUGGCUCAUUUGUUAUUUUUCAGUCCAAAACAAUGUUAAGAUGUUGCUUUCUUUCUCCACUCCCGUUUUAGGAGCGUAGCAUUACUAAUACUAUGCAUGAAAUUGCGCAAAUUUAGGUUCUCUCUGUUUUGAACAAAUUUCAGUAAGAAUUUAAAUUGUAUUUGAAUUUUUUUUGCAUCAAUAUUGUUAUCCAUUAUGCAGAAAAGUUACGGGAGUCAUCCAACUUCUGAGAUUUGUUGUAGAAUGAGUUUAUUAUUAUUUUUUCCCAUCAUUUUACGGUCUAUUAAACUCCAUUGAUCUUGUGAAAUGCAGUUUUAUCAACAAAUGCUUAUUGAUUGUUCAUAUGAGAUUCUGAAUUUUUUAGGUGCAAGUGUUCCAUUCUUGAUAUUGUUACCUAAAUUUUAGCCCAUUUUAUUAAUUUUUUGAAUUAGCUUUGACUGUUAGAUGCGUAGAUGAACAGUUUCUAGAAAAUAGAUCUAUUUCCUCUAUUUUAUUUCAUCACAUAUGUAACUGUAUCAUGUAUGAAUCAGUUUAAGAAUCUCACUCUCAACAUACCUAAUCUCUAGUUGACAUUGCACAUAUUAGCAUCCAAAAACUUGACAAAAAUCUUUAUACCUAAUCUCUAGUUGACAUUGCACAUAUUAGCAUCCAGAAACUUGACAAAAAUCUUUAGUUGGAAACGUUAGAUUGAUGGAUACCCCACUUCAGAUUACGUGCGUCCAAUUCAUUCAUGUUGCAUUGCUUUGAAUUGUGGACCUUUAUUACCAUUGUUAUAUUGUUAUUAUUAUUUUUUUAGCUUGAUGAAUUAUACUUAGUUACUAAUGUACCCUUAAUUUUGUCUUUUGUCCUACUGAAUUAGAUGUGACAAACUGGAAAGGUAGCUUUUUCUAUCUUCCUUUUUUUAUUCUUUAAUUCAUAUCAUUUUCUUUGCAUGAUCAGAACAACAUUAAUAUUUUUAGGGGAACUCGUAAAUUUUGUACUCCCUAGUAACCUUGUUAGUAUGAAAUUAGUUUAAUAAAUUUUCUUAAUGUUGUUUCGAAGAAGUUGUUAAUUUAGUUAAAAACCCUUCUCUUCUGAACUUUGAGACUUGAGAUUUUAAUUCGUUAUUUUGCAAACAUGGUGUUACCACAUUACGAUAGGAUUAUCAAGAACAUUGAAAGAGGGGAGGUGCUUUCAGCUUUUUAUUAGUAACUUUAUUAUUCUUAUUAGUCUCCACUGUUACGCUAGUUGAUUAAAUACAAGCUUGAUUUCAAAUUCCCUAGUGAAAGGGUAGAGAAGAGGAAUUGGUUGAGCUUGCUGGGGGUCGCUUUCCUCUUUGCUGGGGCUUCUGUAUGGCCCAGCAAGAAAGAAUACGGGCUAACUCAUUGGAUCAGUUGGAACAGCUUGAGAUCCUCCUUCUGAGGGAAGGUCGCCUGUUAGUCUGAGGUUUGCUCCUAGUCUUUGCUUCCUCCUCUUUUCAACUGAGGAAAAAAAGGCUCACUUGCUAUAUCUCAUCUCCGAGAUCCCCUCAUCACAGUGGUUCGGCAAGGGUGGGGCGGGGCGGGGAUUUCAAACUGCUGCUUCUUUUCCCGGCUUCUUUUAGAGCAAGAUGCCUACUAAAUUUCCAUCGGAUUUCAACCCUCAAUCCGGUCAGUAUGAACAAUACACCAUCAAAGCAUGCUCUGGCAAGGCAGGCAGCUGAGAGCCCCCCUCCAACUCAAAAGAAGAGGAAGCAAUUAUUAAUGGAUGACCACGUGAGCUCAGGAAAGAGGAAAAAAUGACAUCAAUUUAUGACGGUUAUAUGUAGAGAAGGAUGAUACUUGGUGGAUAACAAAGAUGAUAAAUGGUUUGAGCGGAUGCCAACACAUGGUUUGAACGGCAGCAACAAGAGGAAGUAACGCAAUGUCUUCAGCUAGAGAAUGGGCCUGCAAUGCAUCCAGAAACUUGACAAAAAUCUUUAGUGAACUGCGGAGUUGUGGGAAGUCUUCGGUGCUGGAGAGCAUUGUUGGGCAUGAUUUUCAACCUCCUGCUUCUGCAAUGUUACCCAGUGCUGUUGAUGCAACAGGAAUCAGCUUGAUAUAAGAGAAUUGGCAUGGCGUUCUACUUGUGGGCAAAAAGACACAAGCUCAAGGUAGACAAAAUUAAGUUAAUCGAACUCUGUGGCACAUCAAAAUCUGAAUUUUCCAGUGUCUCUACAUCCAUGAAGGACCUGUGUCAUGAUGUUUUUGGGAUAUCAAAGGAAAAGGAAGAUCCAAGAGAUGUGAAAGGGAACCGAGAAUUGAUAGAUGCAUUGCCUGAGAAAAGAACAUUUGAAGAUGGUGGUUAUUUGUCUGAUGAUCGUGGUACUUCACAAGCACAGCAUCUUUAAUCUUGAUUCUUAUUAUUUAUUUGCUAAAGCACUUUUUUCAUUUUUUUUUUCUUUUGGCCAUUUAUUUUAUAAAGCAUGUUCUUUUUAGUGUUAGUAGAUGGUAUCAGUGUAGGAAGAUGCAUGGUGGUUUAAAAUUUUUGCUAGCUUCUGUAACAUCGUUAAUAUGUAUCCACUCACAAGAUCCACAAGUGAUCGGUUGAAUAACUCGUUUAAAGCUACACCUAUUUCCUUAUUGUCAACUUGGUACUUUAUCCGAAUUAGCUGAGAAAGUAACUUCAAAAUUAUAAGUAGUCUCUUACACGUCAAGCUUUAUGAAGCCUUGACAAAUGAUAACUAUAUAAUCUUGUUUAAUCUGACACAAUUUGAUCUAUUCAGUUCAGAUUGCGCACCUGCAAAACAAAUGAUUGAAAUAGGACACAUGACAAAAUAUGUGACCAAAGUGGUUAUGUAUGAAAUGAUUUUUGAUUAACUCCGUUUGUUUGUUUGGACGUAAAAUAUUUUUCAGAAAAUAUAUAUUUUUAUUUUUUUGGUGUUCGGUAAACAGCCGUAAAAUAUUUUUCAGAAAAUAUAUUUUUUAUUUUUUUGGUGUUUGGUUGUCGUAAAAUAUUUACGAAAAAAAAAAAUAUUAAAAUUUAAGAAAAAUAACCUAUCCAUCAAUUUUGUAAGUUAUUUUACAUGUCCCGCCCGAUGGACUCGAUCUCAAUUUUAAUUUUAACGUAGACUUUUGAAAACACCGACAAAAUAAAAAUAAAAGAAUAUUUUAUCUGAAAAAAAAAAAAAAAAAAUUUCUAAAGGAAUAUUUUAGGUCGAAAUAAAGCUAAGUUGCAAUAUUUAGCACAACAUGAAGUAUGCGUUUGGCGAAAAACAAACAACUCACAAUGAACAAGUUUGUGUAUCUUUUAUUUCAUCUACUCGAGGUCGACGUGAUUCCAU